GUACUGAUGAAGAGUCCAAAACUUGGACGAAACAGCUGCCCAGUAC
This is a non-coding RNA of Trichobilharzia regenti, 46 nucleotides long. Lineage: Eukaryota; Metazoa; Platyhelminthes; Trematoda; Strigeidida; Schistosomatidae. The record is from Rfam.